Molecule: ribosomal RNA, 468 nt
Filed under: uncultured bacterium
Lineage: Bacteria
Description: partial 16S ribosomal RNA
Rfam family: Bacterial small subunit ribosomal RNA
Source: RNAcentral
GACGAACGCUGGCGGCGUGCUUAACACAUGCAAGUCGAACGGAAAGGCCCUGCUUUUGUGGGGUGCUCGAGUGGCGAACGGGUGAGUAACACGUGAGUAACCUGCCCUUGACUUUGGGAUAACUUCAGGAAACUGGGGCUAAUACCGGAUAGGAGCUCCUGCUGCAUGGUGGGGGUUGGAAAGUUUCGGCGGUUGGGGAUGGACUCGCGGCUUAUCAGCUUGUUGGUGGGGUAGUGGCUUACCAAGGCUUUGACGGGUAGCCGGCCUGAGAGGGUGACCGGCCACAUUGGGACUGAGAUACGGCCCAGACUCCAACGGGAGGCAGCAGUGGGGAAUAUUGCACAAUGGGCGGAAGCCUGAUGCAGCAACGCCGCGUGCGGGAUGACGGCCUUCGAGUUGUAAACCGCUUUCGCCUGUGACGAAGCGUGAGUGACGGUAAUGGGUAAAGAAGCACCGGCUAACUACGUG